AACGCGAAGAACCUUACCUGGGCUCGAACGGCUUCCCAACGUCGGUAGAAAUGCCGAUACCCCGCAAGGGGGUGGAGUCGAGGUGCUGCAUGGCUGUCGUCAGCUCGUGUCGUGAGAUGUUGGGUUAAGUCCCGCAACGAGCGCAACCCUUGUCCUGUGUUGCCAUGGUUGAAAGACCGGAACUCGCAGGGAGACCGCCAGCGAUAAGCUGGAGGAAGGUGGGGAUGACGUCAAGUCCUCAUGGCCUUUAUGUCCAGGGCUACACACGUGCUACAAUGGACGGUACAAAGCGUCGCUAACCUGCGAAGGGGAGCCAAUCGCAAAAAACCGUUCUCAGUUCGGAUUGCAGGCUGCAACUCGCCUGCAUGAAGCUGGAAUCGCUAGUAAUGGCAGAUCAGCACGCUGCCGUGAAUACGUUCCCGGGCUUGUACGACACCGAUAGC
Molecule: ribosomal RNA, 443 nt
Filed under: uncultured bacterium
Lineage: Bacteria
Description: bacterial SSU rRNA
Rfam family: Bacterial small subunit ribosomal RNA
Source: RNAcentral